RNAcentral lists this ribosomal RNA (873 nucleotides) under uncultured Bacteroidota bacterium. RNAcentral's name for it is "bacterial SSU rRNA". It matches the Rfam family "Bacterial small subunit ribosomal RNA", at positions 32 to 896 of the family's 1533-position model. The record is from RNAcentral. Lineage: Bacteria; Pseudomonadati; Bacteroidota.
AACGCUAGCUACAGGCUUAACACAUGCAAGUCGAGGGGAAACGGCAUUGAGUGCUUGCACUCUUUGGACGUCGACCGGCGCACGGGUGAGUAACGCGUAUCCAACCUUCCCAUUACUGUGGGAUAACCUGCCGAAAGGCAGACUAAUACCGCAUAGUCUUCGAUGACGGCAUCAGAUUUGAAGUAAAGAUUUAUCGGUAAUGGAUGGGGAUGCGUCUGAUUAGCUUGUUGGCGGGGUAACGGCCCACCAAGGCGACGAUCAGUAGGGGUUCUGAGAGGAAGGUCCCCCACAUUGGAACUGAGACACGGUCCAAACUCCUACGGGAGGCAGCAGUGAGGAAUAUUGGUCAAUGGACGGAAGUCUGAACCAGCCAAGUAGCGUGCAGGAUGACGGCCCUAUGGGUUGUAAACUGCUUUUGUAUGGGGAUAAAGUUAGGGACGUGUCCCUAUUUGCAGGUACCAUACGAAUAAGGACCGGCUAAUUCCGUGCCAGCAGCCGCGGUAAUACGGAAGGUCCAGGCGUUAUCCGGAUUUAUUGGGUUUAAAGGGAGCGUAGGCUGGAGAUUAAGUGUGUUGUGAAAUGUAGACGCUCAACGUCUGACUUGCAGCGCAUACUGGUUUCCUUGAGUACGCACAACGUUGGCGGAAUUCGUCGUGUAGCGGUGAAAUGCUUAGAUAUGACGAAGAACUCCGAUUGCGAAGGCAGCUGACGGGAGCGCAACUGACGCUUAAGCUCGAAGGUGCGGGUAUCAAACAGGAUUAGAUACCCUGGUAGUCCGCACAGUAAACGAUGGAUGCCCGCUGUUGGUACCUGGUAUCAGCGGCUAAGCGAAAGCAUUAAGCAUCCCACCUGGGGAGUACGCCGGCAACGGUG